AGGCUGGUAACUCAGUAGGAAGAGUAUCGCACUUUUAAUGCGGAAGUCGAGAGUUCGAACCUCUCUCAGCCUA
RNAcentral lists this transfer RNA (73 nucleotides) under Caudoviricetes sp. Its description in RNAcentral is "tRNA-Lys". It matches the Rfam family "tRNA". From Rfam's summary of the family: Transfer RNA (tRNA) molecules are approximately 80 nucleotides in length. Their secondary structure includes four short double-helical elements and three loops (D, anti-codon, and T loops). Lineage: Duplodnaviria; Heunggongvirae; Uroviricota; Caudoviricetes. The record is from RNAcentral.